AUGGCGCGCUCCAAGUACACCGUGGCCGUGCUCCUCGCCCUGCUGGCCAUCGUCGCGACGCUGCAGCCGUCCGAGGCGAGGGUCCAGCCCGCCGCCGCCGCAAACCAAGAAGAAGCCACAGCCACCACCACGGCCGAUGGAGGCUCGCCAUCUCUUCCCGGCCUGCCGCUGCCUCAGAUCCCCGGCAUGCCUAGCCUACCACCGAUAUUCCGCUCCCUUUUCCCGCCACUGCCCCAGAUCCCCGGCUUGCCGCCGCUGUUCGGGCCGCUCCCUGGUGGUGCACCGGGCACCCCUCCAUCUCAUGCACCGCCGAGCCUCCCACACCUCCCGCUUCCCACCGGCUCGCCAAGCCCGCCGCCGCCGAAGGAGUGCCUGACACCAUUGACGGCCAUGAUACCGUGCAUGGACUACCUCACCAACAUCACGGUGUUCUCGCCACCGGACGCGUGCUGCGACGGCCUCAAGUCGGUCGUCAGCACCGCGCCGAUCUGCCUCUGCCACGGCCUGAACAACAACGGCAGCAUGAGCAAGCUCUUCCCCAAGCCCAUAGAUCCGAUCCGCAUGAUCAUCCUCCCGCUUAGGUGUGGCGCCAUGAUACCCAUCCAGACGAUCUUCUCCUGUGGCAGUAAGUUACUAACCUUGUUCUGUGUGUUUUUCUGUGUAUAUAUGUGUUGCUUCUUUGAAAGAGAUUGA
Molecule: ribosomal RNA, 693 nt
Filed under: Triticum aestivum (bread wheat)
Lineage: Eukaryota; Viridiplantae; Streptophyta; Magnoliopsida; Poales; Poaceae
Description: partial small subunit ribosomal RNA
Source: RNAcentral